This 354-nucleotide unclassified non-coding RNA is filed under the name soil metagenome. RNAcentral describes it as "partial contains 5.8S ribosomal RNA, internal transcribed spacer 2, and large subunit ribosomal RNA". The stretch from base 1 to 120 matches the Rfam family "5.8S ribosomal RNA", at positions 35 to 154 of the family's 154-position model. The record is from RNAcentral.
GAUGAAGAACGUAGUGAAAUGCGAUAAGUAGUGUGAAUUGCAGAAUUCAGUGAAUCAUCGAAUCUUUGAACGCACAUUGCGCCUUCUAGUAUUCUGGGAGGCAUGCCUGUUUGAGCGUCAUUAAACCUCUCUCAAGUAUGAUUACUUGGAUGUGAAGGAAGAGUACCUUAAACUUAAGGAGUGUUCUCCUUUGAAAUUGAUUAGCAGAUGGUAAUGUUAUUAAAUCCCUGAUGUUGUAAGAAAUAACAGUGGUUUUGUAGACUAUUAUCUAGCUUUAAAUUAUAAUUUUUAUUAUGGUUGACCUCAAAUCAGGUAAGGAUACCCGCUGAACUUAAGCAUACAAUAAGCGGAGGA